This 582-nucleotide ribosomal RNA is filed under the name uncultured bacterium. RNAcentral's name for it is "bacterial SSU rRNA". It matches the Rfam family "Bacterial small subunit ribosomal RNA", at positions 46 to 676 of the family's 1533-position model. The record is from RNAcentral.
GCUUAACACAUGCAAGUCGAGCGCCCCGCAAGGGGAGCGGCAGACGGGUGAGUAACGCGUGGGAAUCUACCCAUCUCUACGGAAUAACGCAUGGAAACGUGUGCUAAUACCGUAUACGUCCUUCGGGAGAAAGAUUUAUCGGAGAUGGAUGAGCCCGCGUUGGAUUAGCUAGUUGGUGGGGUAAAGGCCUACCAAGGCGACGAUCCAUAGCUGGUCUGAGAGGAUGAUCAGCCACACUGGGACUGAGACACGGCCCAGACUCCUACGGGAGGCAGCAGUGGGGAAUAUUGGACAAUGGGCGCAAGCCUGAUCCAGCCAUGCCGCGUGAGUGAUGAAGGCCCUAGGGUUGUAAAGCUCUUUCACCGGUGAAGAUAAUGACGGUAACCGGAGAAGAAGCCCCGGCUAACUUCGUGCCAGCAGCCGCGGUAAUACGAAGGGGGCUAGCGUUGUUCGGAUUUACUGGGCGUAAAGCGCACGUAGGCGGACUAUUAAGUCAGGGGUGAAAUCCCGGGGCUCAACCCCGGAACUGCCUUUGAUACUGGUAGUCUUGAGUUCGAGAGAGGUGAGUGGAAUUCCGAGUGU